Molecule: ribosomal RNA, 332 nt
Filed under: uncultured bacterium
Lineage: Bacteria
Description: bacterial SSU rRNA
Rfam family: Bacterial small subunit ribosomal RNA
Source: RNAcentral
CGCGUAGGCGGUUCGAUAAGUCGGAGGUGAAAGCCCUCGGCUCAACCGAGGAUCCGCGUCCGAUACUGUCGAACUUGAGUGCAGGAGAGGAGAGCGGAAUUCCCAGUGUAGCGGUGAAAUGCGUAGAUAUUGGGAGGAACACCGGUGGCGAAGGCGGCUCUCUGGACUGCUACUGACGCUGAGGCGCGAAAGCUAGGGGAGCAAACGGGAUUAGAUACCCCGGUAGUCCUAGCCGUAAACGAUGGGCACUAGGUGUGGGAGGUAUCGACCCCUUCCGUGCCGCAGCUAACGCAUUAAGUGCCCCGCCUGGGGAGUACGGCCGCAAGGUUGAA